AUGCGUAGGGGGCGAGCGUUGUCCGGAAUGACUGGGCGUAAAGGGCGUGUAGGCGGCGGUGUAAGUCUGGAGUGAAAGUCCCGCAUUCAAUGUGGGAAUUGCUUUGGAUACUGCAGUGCUAGAGUGCGGAAGAGGUAAGUGGAAUUCCCAGUGUAGAGGUGAAAUGCGUAGAGAUUGGGAGGAACACCAGUGGCGAAGGCGACUUACUGGGCCGUAACUGACGCUGAGGCGCGAAAGCGUGGGGAGCGAACAGGAUUAGAUACCCUGGUAGUCCACGCGGUAAACGAUGAAUGCUAGGUGUUGCGGGUAUCGACCCCUGCAGUGCCGGAGUAAACACAAUAAGCAUUCCGCCUGGGGAGUACGGCCGCAAGGUUGAAACUCAAAUGAAUUGACGGGG
Molecule: ribosomal RNA, 397 nt
Filed under: uncultured bacterium
Lineage: Bacteria
Description: partial 16S ribosomal RNA
Rfam family: Bacterial small subunit ribosomal RNA
Source: RNAcentral